This 374-nucleotide ribosomal RNA is filed under the name Bacteroidetes bacterium CNC19. RNAcentral describes it as "bacterial SSU rRNA". It matches the Rfam family "Bacterial small subunit ribosomal RNA", at positions 1075 to 1456 of the family's 1533-position model. Lineage: Bacteria; Pseudomonadati; Bacteroidota. The record is from RNAcentral.
UUGGGUUAAGUCCCGCAACGAGCGCAACCCCUAUCACUAGUUGCCAUCAGGUAACGCUGGGAACUCUAGUGAAACUGCCGUCGUAAGACGCGAGGAAGGAGGGGAUGAUGUCAAGUCAUCAUGGCCUUUAUGCCCAGGGCUACACACGUGCUACAAUGGAGUGGACAAAGGGCUGCAACAUAGCGAUAUGAAGCUAAUCCCAAAAACCACUUCUCAGUUCAGAUUGGAGUCUGCAACUCGACUCCAUGAAGCUGGAAUCGCUAGUAAUCGUAUAUCAGCAAUGAUACGGUGAAUACGUUCCCGGACCUUGCACACACCGCCCGUCAAGCCAUGGGAGCCGGGUGUACGUAAAGUCGUAACCGCCAAGGAGCCGC